This 404-nucleotide ribosomal RNA is filed under the name uncultured bacterium. Its description in RNAcentral is "partial 16S ribosomal RNA". It matches the Rfam family "Bacterial small subunit ribosomal RNA", at positions 28 to 526 of the family's 1533-position model. The record is from RNAcentral.
GACGAACGCUGGCGGCGUGCCUAAUACAUGCAAGUCGAACGCAGUGGGGACGGGUGGGUAACCCUUGGGUAACCUCCGCGUCAGAGGGGAUAACACUUGGAAACAGGUGCUAAACCGAUACUCAUGGAUGGCCCCGCGGUGCAUUAGCUAGUUGGUGAGCUAACGGCGCACCAAGGCAACGAUGCAUAGCCGACCGGGGAGGGUGAUCGGCCACACUGGGACUGAGACACGGCCCAGACUCCUACGGGAGGCAGCAGGAGGGAAUCUUCGGCAAUGGACGAAAGCCUGACCGAGCAACGCCGCGUGAGUGAAGAAGGUUUUCGGAUCGUAAAACUCUGUUGUUAGAGAAGCGGUAUCUAACCAGAAAGCCACGGCUAACUACGUGCCAGCAGCCGCGGUAAUUC